CCUCAAAUGAAUUGACGGGGGCCCGCACAAGCGGUGGAGCAUGUGGUUUAAUUCGAUGCAACCGCGAAGAACCUUUACCUGGUCUUGACAUCCACGGAAGUUUUCAGAGAUGAGAAUGUGCCUUCGGGAACCGUGAGACAGGUGCUGCAUGGCUGUCGUCAGCUCGUGUUGUGAAAUGUUGGGUUAAGUCCCGCAACGAGCGCAACCCUUAUCCUUUGUUGCCAGCGGUCCGGCCGGGAACUCAAAGGAGACUGCCAGUGAUAAACUGGAGGAAGGUGGGGAUGACGUCAAGUCAUCAUGGCCCUUACGACCAGGGCUACACACGUGCUACAAUGGCGCAUACAAAGAGAAGCGACCUCCCGAGAGCAAGCGGACCUCAUAAAGUGCGUCGUAGUCCGGAUUGGAGUCUGCAACUNGNNNCCAUGAAGUCGGAAUCGCUAGUAAUCGUGGAUCAGAAUGCCACGGUGAAUACGUUCCCGGGCCUUGUACACACCGCCCGUCUACACCAUGGGAGU
This 515-nucleotide ribosomal RNA is filed under the name uncultured bacterium. RNAcentral's name for it is "bacterial SSU rRNA". It matches the Rfam family "Bacterial small subunit ribosomal RNA", at positions 899 to 1411 of the family's 1533-position model. The record is from RNAcentral.